Molecule: ribosomal RNA, 475 nt
Filed under: Streptococcus sp. oral taxon 070
Lineage: Bacteria; Bacillati; Bacillota; Bacilli; Lactobacillales; Streptococcaceae
Description: bacterial SSU rRNA
Rfam family: Bacterial small subunit ribosomal RNA
Source: RNAcentral
GACGAACGCUGGCGGCGUGCCUAAUACAUGCAAGUAGAACGCUGAAGCUUGGUGCUUGCACCGAGCGGAUGAGUUGCGAACGGGUGAGUAACGCGUAGGUAACCUGCCUGGUAGCGGGGGAUAACUAUUGGAAACGAUAGCUAAUACCGCAUAAAAUGGAUUAUCGCAUGAUAAUCGAUUGAAAGGUGCAAAUGCAUCACUACCAGAUGGACCUGCGUUGUAUUAGCUAGUUGGUGGGGUAACGGCUCACCAAGGCGACGAUACAUAGCCGACCUGAGAGGGUGAUCGGCCACACUGGGACUGAGACACGGCCCAGACUCCUACGGGAGGCAGCAGUAGGGAAUCUUCGGCAAUGGACGGAAGUCUGACCGAGCAACGCCGCGUGAGUGAAGAAGGUUUUCGGAUCGUAAAGCUCUGUUGUAAGAGAAGAACGAGUGUGAGAGUGGAAAGUUCACACUGUGACGGUAUCUACCAG